GCUGGACACUGUGGCGCACGCCUAUAGUCACAAGUACUCAGGAGGCUGAGGUGGGAGGAUCACUUGGGUCCAGCAGUUUUGGGUUACAGGGUGCUAUGCUGAUAGUGUCCACACUACAUUUGGCCACUGGGUAGUGACCUCCCAAAUCAGGAGACCACCAGGUUGCUUGAGGAGGGGUGAAUCAGCCCAGGUCAGAUAUGGAGCAGUUCAAUACUGCCGUGUUGAUCAGUAGUGGGAUUGCACCUGUGAAUAGCCACUGCCCUCCAGACUGGGCAACGUAGUGAGGCAACAU
RNAcentral lists this signal recognition particle RNA (292 nucleotides) under Cebus imitator (Panamanian white-faced capuchin). RNAcentral's name for it is "Metazoan signal recognition particle RNA (ENSCCAG00000013006.1)". It matches the Rfam family "Metazoan signal recognition particle RNA". Rfam says of the family: The signal recognition particle (SRP) is a universally conserved ribonucleoprotein. It is involved in the co-translational targeting of proteins to membranes. The eukaryotic SRP consists of a 300-nucleotide 7S RNA and six proteins: SRPs 72, 68, 54, 19, 14, and 9. The record is from Rfam by way of RNAcentral. Lineage: Eukaryota; Metazoa; Chordata; Mammalia; Primates; Cebidae.